GGGGCCUCCGGUGGGAAGGGGACGGCGGGAGGGGAUUGGCUGGCGCGCUGAGCCUCCGGGGGGGAGGGGCAGGCGAGAGCGCGGUAAAUGGCGUUGUUGGUACCUUCAGUCACAUCCUGCUCUCCGGCGUCCGCGGCUGCCCCACCCGCUGCUACUGUCGCCCAAGAAACGCCGCUUCUGGUCUGACCUGGCCACGAAUACCAUCAUAGUGCCAGAAAUGGGCUGGUUUUCCCUUUGUUGUGCAAAAGGAUGGUGUCCUUGAGGAAUGUUUGGAGGCUCUUAGCAACCAGGAAUCAUCUGGAAGCGUAUCUGGUGUCAGCUCAGUUGUGUUCUUAACAUUUCAACUAGAGGUACCUGAUCUUCAGAAGUUCAUCCAUUACCAAAAGUGUAUAAACCUCAAGAUAAGAAUACCUUUACUGAAGAGUGAUCUCUAUGCUCAUGAGGCUGAAACUCAUGACUCCAAGAGCAAGAGUCGCGUGCUCUACGGACUGAGCCAACCAGCCAGCUAUCACCUCCCCAGUAAAGCUAUUUUUAAAAAGGAAAAGGCAUUUCAAGAUUUUAACACACCCAUACCAGUAAGUUGUGGCUAGUCUUUGGACUGGCUCUCCCAUUAAUGGUAUGAAACUGAAGGGUGGUCAGGUAUCUCCCUACAUCUGGAUUUUUUCAUCUGUAAAAUGGAGAGUCAAUGAUUUCUUCAAAGCUUUCCAGAUAAGUUAUUUUCCUUGUCAAAGGAAAAUAAUUCAUAUUCAUAAUUCAUAUUACCCUCUUCACCAGCUCAUAAGGCCUUCAUUGCCCCAACACAUAUUUAUCAUUCUUAUACUCCUCAGGAGGGAUGGCAGCCCUUCUGAUUUUGUCCUUGCCAGCUAGUUCUUUCUUAUCCUAUAAUCUUUCUGCCUUACAUCCCCAUCCCAUUUUUGUGUUCCCUUUUGCCUGAUCUCUUACUGUGUGUUAGAAAAGGCCCUAGACUUAGAAUCGAAAGGCCUUCAUUUGAAUCCUAACUCGGCAACAUCCUAGUUUCCAUGACUUGGAGUUGGUUAUUUAAACAUCUAUGAAUCUUGGUUCUAUUACCUAUAAAAUGGAGACAAAAAUGCCAACCCACGGUUUGUGACAGAGUGUAGAUGAAUCAUGAAUCUGAAGAAGUUUUGUAAACCACAUAGCAUUGUAUAGGUGACAGGCAAUA
Mustela lutreola (European mink) is the source of this 1180-nucleotide long non-coding RNA. RefSeq lists it as uncharacterized. The transcript is spliced from 4 exons. NCBI's taxonomy places the organism in Eukaryota, Metazoa, Chordata, Mammalia, Carnivora, Mustelidae. The record is from RefSeq and is a predicted model, not a curated record.